RNAcentral lists this transfer RNA (76 nucleotides) under Acetobacteraceae bacterium. RNAcentral's name for it is "tRNA-Ala". It matches the Rfam family "tRNA". From Rfam's summary of the family: Transfer RNA (tRNA) molecules are approximately 80 nucleotides in length. Their secondary structure includes four short double-helical elements and three loops (D, anti-codon, and T loops). Further hydrogen bonds mediate the characteristic L-shaped molecular structure. tRNAs have two regions of fundamental functional importance: the anti-codon, which is responsible for specific mRNA codon recognition, and the 3' end, to which the tRNAs corresponding amino acid is attached (by aminoacyl-tRNA synthetases). tRNAs cope with the degeneracy of the genetic code in two manners: having more than one tRNA (with a specific anti-codon) for a particular amino acid; and 'wobble' base-pairing, i.e. permitting non-standard base-pairing at the 3rd anti-codon position. The record is from RNAcentral. RNAcentral also lists the same sequence under 9 other names. Lineage: Bacteria; Pseudomonadati; Pseudomonadota; Alphaproteobacteria; Acetobacterales; Acetobacteraceae.
GGGGCCAUAGCUCAGCUGGGAGAGCGCUACAAUGGCAUUGUAGAGGUCACCGGUUCGAUCCCGGUUGGCUCCACCA